UUGAAAGGGAAACGAUUGAAGUCAGUCGUGCUGGCGCGAAAUCAACCUUCUCGUCUUGAGAUCACAUGGCGUGGCGAGCCUCAAAACCGUCACGAAGCGUGAACUCUUGGUGAAAUGGAGCACUUUCGUGUCCGCUGGUUAACAUCAAUUUCGAACGUCAUAAAAAGGCUGGAGGGAUGUGGCUCCUUCGGGAGUGUUAUAACCUUUAGCGGAAUGUGGUGUUCGGGAUUGAGGAUUGCAACGGAUACCUUUAGGGCUGUUCCACCUGGCUUCUCUUUGGUAUCCUGGUGACGACAGCUUGCUGACGUCGUUAGGAUUCGCCUUUGAACAGGUUAGAGUGUGAGCAAAUUCGUUAAGGAUGUUGACGUA
Molecule: ribosomal RNA, 369 nt
Filed under: uncultured Glomeromycotina
Lineage: Eukaryota; Fungi; Glomeromycota
Description: LSU rRNA
Source: RNAcentral